UGCCAGACAACUAGGUGGUCGA
This 22-nucleotide non-coding RNA is filed under the name Arabidopsis thaliana (thale cress). The record is from RNAcentral. Lineage: Eukaryota; Viridiplantae; Streptophyta; Magnoliopsida; Brassicales; Brassicaceae.